RNAcentral lists this ribosomal RNA (200 nucleotides) under uncultured eukaryote. Its description in RNAcentral is "partial 18S ribosomal RNA". The record is from RNAcentral.
GCUUCAUUAGUGUAUAUUAAUAUUGCUGUAGUUAAAAAGUUCGUAGUUGGAGUAAUAUUUCAGGGUUGGGCGAGGAUUCCGAGAGGAGUCUGAGUUUGGCUUUGAUAUAGGAUUAUGAGUUUUUCCUUUUUUUGAGGGGGGGACUCAUGGAUUACCUUAAGGAAAUGACGUUGUUUCAAGAAGAUUGCUUAGGAGUAUUG